Oncorhynchus gorbuscha (pink salmon) is the source of this 3892-nucleotide long non-coding RNA. RefSeq lists it as uncharacterized. The record is from RefSeq and is a predicted model, not a curated record. Lineage: Eukaryota; Metazoa; Chordata; Actinopteri; Salmoniformes; Salmonidae. The transcript is spliced from 11 exons.
ACCCGUACUAAGGCUAGGGUGGUUGAGUGUAAACACAUGGCUCUGAGUGUAAGCACCUUUUCACAAGAAACGUUCUUGUGUUCAAAUGACCGUCAGUGCGAAAUAACUAGAAAGCUUUCGUAUUUCAACUUGGCUGCACCACUGCGUCGACCUGUGGCUUGCGGAAAAACACCGGAAAGUUUCUAGCCUACCGGAAUGUUACAAGAACAAGAAUGGUUACAUGACAUUCGGCCAUGUGACAUUUGUUGUUUAUAGAUUUUUCGCCCACAUAUCGACUCUGGACAGAUAAAAGAAGGUGAGAGGGACCCUAGGAGGGACGUAAAGGAGUUGAUGAAAUCCUGUUAAGACAGACAAUCAGAUGGUAUGGCCUCUGAAGACCCCCAAGACCAACUGGUUGAGGCUAUUAAAAAGGCAGAACGCCUUGCCGAGGAGCUCAACCAAGAAAAGGACCCACAAGCCCAACUGGAUGAGGCCAUUAACGAGGCAAAAAGACUGGCUGAGGAGCUCAACCCAGAACGGGAAAAUAAGAAGAAAAAGACAAACAAGCCUCCAGGGAUUAGGUUCAGAUGGAGACAAAGGGAUGAGAGAGGACAGAUUGUUCCUCAAACCAGGAAGGCAACUACAUCCACUUCUGUUGCUCCAAGGGCCAGUACAUCAAGAGCCAGACUAGUGCAACCUUCUGGACCAGUCACUGAGGAGGAAGAAUCAGCAAUACUUUAUAGAGAAAUGAACAUCCUCCUAGCUGACUUAGAAGACCCUGAGUGUUCAAAUCCUGCUGUGCCUGGUGCAUCACACAGUUGGAGUGUGAGGAAGGAACUCACAGGAGGGAGUCCAGGCCUGAGAUUGUAGAUUCUCUGCUGGCUGCAGAGCAUGUUUCUCAGAAGAUCUGUCAGUCAUGCAAUGUGAAAAGGGCCAUUCUGCGAUGUAGAGACUCUGCCGAAACAGCUUUAUUGCGAAGGCUGUGAUGUCUCUACACAUGCAAAGUUCCCCCUGCACAACAGAGAGUCCAUGAUCGAGGGGUUCUACACGCCCCUUCCUCCAACUACAGCCAUAUCUCUCCACAGUGAUGGCAAAUAUACACUUCAUGAACAGGGUCGCUACAAUGUCAUAGUGCCUGUGCUUACCUGCACAACUUGUCUUAGCACCUGGACAGCAAACUUGGCAGAUCUGAUAAAGAAUGGGUACUGGCCUGCCACUGUCAACUGUGACACCAUAUACCAGGUAGAUGUGUUCAGCUCUUUUGAGGAGCUGGAAGUGUCAGCCCCAGGAAUGUCCCGUCUGGCAUUUAUGCGGAUUUUGGAGCAGCGAACUGACUUCUUUGGCAGGAACGGAAUGAUCUGUGGGGACACUUUUCAAAAAAGCUUCGAGUGGACGUACUGCCGCUCUGAAAUUGAUUAGGUCUGUGAUAUACAGGACUUUGACUGCCCAGCCUAUUCACCCAGCAUGCUUGCAGUGUCAGUGGACGGGAACAAGAAGCUGUAUCGAUUCAAAAAACGGUUAUGGAAAAGGAGUAUGUGGAGAAUCCCAGUGGACAGCAGCUAAAGAGUCAUCAAGGAAUACAAACGACAAACUUGAUGAAGAGGGACUCGAAGUAGCCGUCUCUCGCCAUGGAAUACUUCUAAGGGGCCUCAACAUGAUGCGUGGAGAGAUAUUUGCGUCCCCACGGUUCUUGCAGAAGGAACUGUCUGGCAGCAGGAACAUACAAUUCAUGUGAUCUGCAAAUUUUGGCCAUACCUGACCAAAGUUGCCCUUCAUUGUCCAGAGCUCGCCACUCUUCUAAACAUGAAGCCACUUCUUUCUGUCAUGCAUGCAAAGGCACAUCGUUUGAAAUGCGAGGUAAGUUUCUUUAUUAAACUGUUCAAAGAGAAUUUCCAGCUUCAGUCCUUUACAAGGCUUCCUAUUUAAAUGUUUGUUAUUCACAUAAUUGCAAUAUCAAGUCUAUAUUAAAAAAAAAUGUAAAUUAAGAUUAAGUGGGGAGGACGGAAUCAGGAAGGAGCUGGCACAACUCUGGGGGAGGAAGUGGAACAGCUUCUUGUUGAGGGCUGCAAUCUGUUCCAAGCAAAUGUCCAAAGGAGGUAAACAUUUUGUUUAAGGUUCUAUUCAGCUAUGUUAAUACUUAUCUGGAGUAAGGAGUUCUAUUUGGCAUUUCUAGCAAGAACAGACAUGCUAACCAUCCAGGCUAUGGGGUGGAACAGAAGGAAGAAAAAACCUGAGUAUUGUCCAGAAGAUACUUGAAGGUGUAUUGUGUGGAUCAAUGCAUUUAUUUUAGAGCUAUUAUAUCUAAUGUAAUGUAAAUCUAUGGAUUUAAUUGAUUUAAAAACAAUUAGUUAUUCUGUUUAGUUUGUCAUAAUUCUCAGACAACAGCAAAAAUAUAGGAGACCCAGCCUCUCAAAGUUUAAGAGUGAUUUGGGUGUUAGGCGAUGAGACUCUGUACAACAGAAGUUCAGCAAUGGGAUAAUACAGGUAAAUGAAUACAAAAUAUAAAUAAUCCUAAAUGUAACUCUCCUGGACUGUCACCUUGACGUAGUGGAGAGGCUUGUGUACUCCAAUGACUCUGAGAGCUAACCCUCAAGAGGGUGUAUUCCACCGACAUGUGCAAUCAAGCGGGACGGGUAGGAGGCAGACUAAACAUUCCCUGGUUAUCCAGGUUGGGGCUCAUUCACCGCCCACAUAACAAGUCAUUUGUUACAGAAACCUUCACAGGCCCUAUAUUCCUCCAGGAAGUGAGUGCAACUUCUCAGCAUUGGAGAUACGUUGUUAAUUUAUAGAUGUACUGUAUUUCAGAGGAAACAAAUGAGAACAUGGGACGGUCCCCAGGUACUACAGAGAACAAUUGAAGUCCUGUUUCUUAGCAUCAAACAAAGGAAACAGAACCUCUACCGUCAGACAGCUGACCUACACAAAGAAAGUAGCCUAUGACCGGGUGAUGCUCCUGAGACGGCUGAAGGAGGAAGAGUUAAUUGACCUAAAGGAAGUCUAGCAGCACUGGGAAAGCCUAAAGAGGCAAUCUGAGAAUGUGAAGGACCUUGCUUCACAUGUGGCACUUGACCUAAGCAGGCAAAGCUGGCAAUUGAAUCAGUCGGAAGCUGGGAGCAGAGGUCUCUUCUCCAUGCUUCAGAGGAGAGUCAGCAGCCUCAGAAGACACCAGGACUCUGUCAAACUGAUAUACAGCAAAGCUAUGGGCCAAGACACCUCCCACCUAGAAAAUAACUUCAUAGAUGACCUCCUGGAAGAGGACCUAGAUGACAUCUAUGACAGCAUCCACUACAGCUCUGAUGAUGAGGAAUCUAUCACAGACUGAAGGUGUUCUGCCUUCCUAAGGAAAAAUAGUUUGAACAUUUUAUGGGGAAAAAUUAUCAUCCACUUUUGGAUUCUUUAAGAAUAUAAUUGAUAAAUGCCUCAUGAAUAUAGUUCACCUGCCGUACCCCAUCAGAUCCCAAAAUAGAUAUUUUUUUCUACUCGAAUGUUUGUAAACAAAGUAAAUGUAAACAUACGAGCGUGUGUCAAAACUCAUUCCACAGGUGAGCCGAGUGUCUGCGCUCCUCCCAUAAUUGAUGAAUUAAGGUCACUAAUUAGUAAGGAACUCCCCUCACCUGGUUGGGUAGGUCUUAAUUGAAAGGAAAAAACAAAAACCAGCAGACACUAGACUCUCCAUGGAAUUGAGAUUGACACCACUGGACUAUAGCCGCAAAACAUAGUUUAAAUUAUGGUUACAUUUCUCCAUCCCCAUCCCUCUGCUUUUUACAGAACCACUGGUGGGGAGAACGAUUUAUUGUUUCACCUGGUGAUUUCAGAUUUAAACAUUGUUAAACUGUAAUGUACUGUGCUUGUUAGUUUAUAUUAGUAUUGUAUUAGUUUUAAAAAAAUUAAAAAAGGUUAUCCUUGUCUUCAA